GAUGUCGCCAAGCGGUAAGGCAACGGACUUUGACUCCGUUAUGCGUAGGUUCGAAUCCUACCAUCC
This 66-nucleotide transfer RNA is filed under the name marine eukaryotic metagenome. It matches the Rfam family "tRNA". From Rfam's summary of the family: Transfer RNA (tRNA) molecules are approximately 80 nucleotides in length. Their secondary structure includes four short double-helical elements and three loops (D, anti-codon, and T loops). Further hydrogen bonds mediate the characteristic L-shaped molecular structure. tRNAs have two regions of fundamental functional importance: the anti-codon, which is responsible for specific mRNA codon recognition, and the 3' end, to which the tRNAs corresponding amino acid is attached (by aminoacyl-tRNA synthetases). tRNAs cope with the degeneracy of the genetic code in two manners: having more than one tRNA (with a specific anti-codon) for a particular amino acid; and 'wobble' base-pairing, i.e. permitting non-standard base-pairing at the 3rd anti-codon position. The record is from RNAcentral.